GAUGAACGCUGGCGGCGUGCUUAACACAUGCAAGUCGAACGGUGAAGCAGAGCUUGCUCUGUGGAUCAGUGGCGAACGGGUGAGUAACACGUGAGCAACCUGCCCCUGACUCUGGGAUAAGCGCUGGAAACGGCGUCUAAUACUGGAUAUGAGCUGCGACCGCAUGGUCAGCAGUUGGAAAGAUUUUUCGGUCUGGGAUGGGCUCACGGCCUAUCAGCUUGUUGGUGAGGUAAUGGCUCACCAAGGUGUCGACGGGUAGCCGGCCUGAGAGGGUGACCGGCCACACUGGGACUGAGACACGGCCCAGACUCCUACGGGAGGCAGCAGUGGGGAAUAUUGCACAAUGGGCGAAAGCCUGAUGCAGCAACGCCGCGUGAGGGAUGACGGCCUUCGGGUUGUAAACCUCUUUUAGCAGGGAAGAAGCGAAAGUGACGGUACCUGCAGAAAAAGCGCCGGCUAACUACGUG
RNAcentral lists this ribosomal RNA (467 nucleotides) under uncultured bacterium. Its description in RNAcentral is "partial 16S ribosomal RNA". It matches the Rfam family "Bacterial small subunit ribosomal RNA", at positions 28 to 507 of the family's 1533-position model. The record is from RNAcentral.